Molecule: long non-coding RNA, 887 nt
Organism: Ziziphus jujuba (common jujube)
Lineage: Eukaryota; Viridiplantae; Streptophyta; Magnoliopsida; Rosales; Rhamnaceae
Exons: 2
Source: RefSeq, a predicted model, not a curated record
AAAUAUUUUCUCACCGAUUGAUUUGACUUUUACUUUUCACUCAUCUUCUUCAUCAUCUCUCGCGGGGGGAGACAGGAAAAACAAGAAAGAGAAACCAGCCAUGGGAAACCAAAAAAAAAGGUGACGGUGAGCUCUACAACUUUUCAUCAAAAUUUGUAAUUUUUAUAUCCACCCAUCCCAAACCAUAUAGACCUAUUUGAAGCCCACAUCACUAGCAACCCUUAAUUGCCUUAUCUUACUGUGAAAUGGCAUGAAUUGGUUGGAAACUACACAAAUCCGGUGAGCUUCAUCAAGCUCCGAUCACCGGAUUUUGAUGAGUUUCAAACCAUGAUUAGCUCUUUUCCCACUAUUCGGGACCCUUUGAGUCUGAUUCCAAGCUCUGUUUAGCUCCAUUCGAGUUCGUUUGGUCGGUAUGAAGAGACUAACUUUAGGCCGUGAUUUUUCUGUAAAAUUCCGACCAUCACGGGCUACAUCGAGUCUAAUGAAGCUUUCAAACAAGUAUCACAGCCUAUGUGCAAGAACGAUAGCCAUUGGACAAGUAUAAAAACCCCUGAGCAAGUGGUAGCUUUGGGCAGGUGUGAUAGCCCUUGGGCAAGUAGGUUAUAUGAUAGCUCUUGGGCAAGUGGUAGCUUUCGGGCAUAUAUGUUAGCCAUCAGACAGAUACGGUUAUAUGAUAGCACUUGGAGAAGUUGUACUAAUACUAUUAUUAUCAUUACUGUCAUUAAUACAAUAGUAAUUAUAAUUGGUAUUGUGGUCGUUGUUUUGUUACCUUCUUUCUACGUUUAUGCAUUAGUAUGUUCAUUAACUGGGGUGGAAAUAUAGAACUGUACUAAGUGGAUGGUGUGAACAAAUAUGAGUAUUUAAAGUUUAUUAAAUUAUUUCUAGUA